AGAGCGAACGCUGGCGGCAGGCCUAACACAUGCAAGUCGAGCGCGUGUAGCAAUACACGAGCGGCAGACGGGAGAGUAACACGUGGGAACGCGCCCUUCGGUUCGGAAUAACUCAGGGAAACUUGAGCUAAUACCGGAUACGCCCUUACGGGGAAAGAUUUAUUGCCGAAGGAACGGCCCGCGUCCGAUUAGCUAGUUGGUGAGGUAACGGCUCACCAAGGCGACGAUCGGUAGCUGGUCUGAGAGGAUGACCAGCCUCACUGGGACUGAGACACGGCCCAGACUCCUACGGGAGGCAGCAGUGGGGAAUAUUGGACAAUGGGCGCAAGCCUGAUCCAGCCAUGCCGCGUGGAUGAUGAAGGCCUUAGGGGUUGUAAAGUCCUUUUAACGGGGAAGAUAAUGACGGUACCCGUAGAAUAAGCCCCGGCUAACUUCGUGCCAGCAGCCGC
This 449-nucleotide ribosomal RNA is filed under the name uncultured bacterium. RNAcentral describes it as "SSU rRNA". It matches the Rfam family "Bacterial small subunit ribosomal RNA", at positions 26 to 518 of the family's 1533-position model. The record is from RNAcentral.